UAUCUGGGUGAUCCUGCCAGUAGUUAUAUGCUUGUCUCAAAGAUUAAGCCAUGCAUGUCUAAGUACACACGAAUUAAAAGUGAAACCGCAAAAGGCUCAUUAUAUCAGUUAUGGUUCCUUAGAUCGUUAACAGUUACUUGGAUAACUGUGGUAAUUCUAGAGCUAAUACAUGCAAUUAAAACAUGAACCUUAUGGGACAUGUGCUUUUAUUAGGCUAAAACCAAGCGAUCGCAAGAUCGUUAUAUUGGUUGAACUCUAGAUAACAUGCAGAUCGUAUGGUCUUGUACCGACGACAGAUCUUUCAAAUGUCUGCCCUAUCAACUUUUGAUGGUAGUAUCUAGGACUACCAUGGUUGCAACGGGUAACGGGGAAUCAGGGUUCGAUUCCGGAGAGGGAGCCUGAGAAACGGCUACCACAUCUAAGGAAGGCAGCAGGCGCGUAAAUUACCCACUCCCAGCUCGGGGAGGUAGUGACGAAAAAUAACAAUACAGGACUCAUAUCCGAGGCCCUGUAAUUGGAAUGAGUACACUUUAAAUCCUUUAACAAGGACCAAUUGGAGGGCAAGUCUGGUGCCAGCAGCCGCGGUAAUUCCAGCUCCAAUAGCGUAUAUUAAAGUUGUUGCGGUUAAAACGUUCGUAGUUGAACUUGUGCUUCAUACGGGUAGUACAACUUACAAUUGUGGUUAGUACUAUACCUUUAUGUAUGUAAGCGUAUUACCGGUGGAGUUCUUAUAUGUGAUUAAAUACUUGUAUUUUUUCAUAUGUUCCUCCUAUUUAAAAACCUGCACUAGUGCUCUUAAACGAGUGUUAUUGUGGGCCGGUACUAUUACUUUGAACAAAUGAA
Molecule: non-coding RNA, 843 nt
Filed under: Drosophila simulans
Lineage: Eukaryota; Metazoa; Arthropoda; Insecta; Diptera; Drosophilidae
Description: Eukaryotic small subunit ribosomal RNA
Rfam family: Eukaryotic small subunit ribosomal RNA
Source: Rfam by way of RNAcentral